Molecule: transfer RNA, 72 nt
Filed under: Macaca mulatta (Rhesus monkey)
Lineage: Eukaryota; Metazoa; Chordata; Mammalia; Primates; Cercopithecidae
Description: tRNA-Ala (AGC) (tRNA-Ala-AGC-7-1)
Rfam family: tRNA
About the family: Transfer RNA (tRNA) molecules are approximately 80 nucleotides in length. Their secondary structure includes four short double-helical elements and three loops (D, anti-codon, and T loops).
Source: Rfam by way of RNAcentral
GGGGGUAUAGCUCAGUGGUAGAGCGCGUGCUUAGCAUGCACGAGGCCCUGGGUUCAAUCCCCAGUACCUCCA